UGGGGAAUAUUGCACAAUGGGCGCAAGCCUGAUGCAGCCAUGCCGCGUGUAUGAAGAAGGCCUUCGGGUUGUAAAGUACUUUCAGCGGGGAGGAAGGGAGUAAAGUUAAUACCUUUGCUCAUUGACGUUACCCGCAGAAGAAGCACCGGCUAACUCCGUGCCAGCAGCCGCGGUAAUACGGAGGGUGCAAGCGGUAAUCGGAAUUACUGGGCGUAAAGCGCACGCAGGCGGUUUGUUAAGUCAGAUGUGAAAUCCCCGGGCUCAACCUGGGAACUGCAUCUGAUACUGGGAAGCUUGAGUCUCGUAGAGGGGGGUAGAAUUCCAGGUGUAGCGGUGAAAUGCGUAGAGAUCUGGAGGAAUACCGGUGGCGAAGGCGGCCCCCUGGACGAAGACUGACGCUCAGGUGCGAAAGCGUGGGGAGCAAACA
RNAcentral lists this ribosomal RNA (427 nucleotides) under uncultured bacterium. RNAcentral's name for it is "partial 16S ribosomal RNA". It matches the Rfam family "Bacterial small subunit ribosomal RNA", at positions 355 to 774 of the family's 1533-position model. The record is from RNAcentral.